GCGUGGGCAUUAAUUGUGGAAUUAAUGACAGGGGCACGUGGCUGGGUAAACGAAGUGGCACCCACUUCACCAAAGCCAACGACAUCAUUGAAACCAUUAAGUGAAGUCCCUUCGUCUGAGUUGGUGAGAGGUGAAGCGAGCUCCAUGGAUGUAUCAGUUCGAAACUGAUCUGGAAGAGGUGGAAGCAGACGAAAAUGGUGAAGAGGAUCCUCUCCUUUGUACGGUCGGAGCAAAGAAACAUGAAACACUGGGUGAAUGCCAGCGGUUUCGGGCAACAGCAAUUCAUAGGCCACCAAGCGAUGCGACGGUGAACGCGGAAGGGCCCGUAGUAGCACUUGGCCAGUUUCUGUGACGUGCGGCGCAACAACGACGUUUGCCUGUACGAUUGAAGCUUCAACAAUACCUAAUCGCCCGGCUGAAAGGAGAAGUUGAACAGUUGUGGAAGACGGGCUUUGUAAAACAUCAACAGGGGUAGGCGGGGCACAUCCAUACAAGGCGUGAAAGGGAGUGGUACCGAUGCUGGUGUGGAAAGAGGUAUUAUGCCAAUACUCCGCGAGGUGAAGAUAUUGAUACCAUGCACGGGGAUGAUCACUAACAAAACAACGGAGAUAGGCUUCUAAACAGCGAUUCCAGACCUCAGAUUGACCGUCUGAUUGGGGGUGAUAAGCCGAGCUAAAGGCCAAAGUGGUGCCUUGAGCGCGAAAGAGUUCACGCCAAAAAGAACUCACAAACAAGGGAUCCUAAUUGGAAACAAUGGAUUUCGGGCAGCCAUGAAGUUUGAAGAUUUCCACCAUAAACUGACGAGCUAGCUGAGGGACAGUGAACUUGGCAGGGAGAGCAAGAAAAUGUGCAAACUUGGUUAGACGGUCACAGAUAACCCAGAAUGUGGAAUGACUAAAUGAUUUAGGUAUUUAUCAUGUUGACAUUCAUGGCACGCACGAAUGAACUUGCGAGCAUUAGAGUAAAGACCAGGCCAAUAAAAAGCGGCAACAAUGCAACAGACCGUGGGUUUUAAACCAGAAUGACCCGCAACCGGGGUGCAAUGGAAUUCUUUUAUCAGUUGAAGGAAAAAAUCAUGAAUAUCUGGAACAAAAAGCCUGGUUUUGAAGUACAACAACCCAUUGUGGAAGGUAAACAAUUCGUGCUCUUGAUUUUGUUGAUGUAGUUGAGUAACUAAUGCCUGACCAUCUGUCUUAAAAUAUUCCUGCCAAGGGUGAAGAAAUGUAGGAACGAGGGAGGAAAUGUGGAACAAGACAGAAGGCUUUGGUUCCGGUCUUGAUAACGAAUCAGCCACGAUAAUCUGGUUGCCUGGCCUGUAAAGAAUAUCAAAAUGGUAGCCCAAGAACUUAAUGGCCCAUUUCUACUGCUCGGGAGUGUGCACCGCUUGGCAAGCAUUUCGUGCACAUAGACGGACGCAGCCUGUAGCCUUGGACAAAGACCUUUGUUGAAAAAGGCUAUCGGAUGACCAUGUUGGGAUAAAAUGGACCCUAUUGUUAGAAACAUCAGUUUCAAUAACGAAUGGAGAAUUGAUGUCUGAGAGAGCCAGAACAGGAACUGAUGUAAUUUUAUUUUUGAGGUCUGUGAAUGCUUGUUGUGCUUGUACACACCAUUGAAAAGUAGUGGAGCGUAACAAAUCGGUGAGGGGAGUGGUGAUUGACACGUAAUUAUGCACGAAUUUGCAGUAAACCUCGUUGAACCCGCGUAGAGCCGUGAGUGAACGCGGAAGAGGCCAGGCCACAAUGGCUUGAAUCUUCUCUGGGUCAGGUGAUGAUUCUUAUUCUAUAGAUUCUCGUGAUUUGAAGACAAAUCUUUUUCAAGAGGGAGUGAAUGAUGGAAUCAUGCCUAGGAAGGUAAGGGGUGACAUAUUGAGAGAGCCAAGAGGAAUGGGCUAGACAUGAAGGUUUGGGUUUUGACUGGUCCAAUGGGUCUAAUGGGCUUGGAAAGCCCAAGUUGAGCUUCUCAUGGGCCAUAUCUUGUUUUAGCUAUUCUUCUUAUGUCUUGUGUAUAUCAUAUUAGUAUAGGUUUUCUAUAUUUUGGGUCUUGUAUUUUGGACCAACUAGAAUAGUAUUUUAGGCUAUAGGCUUAUUGGGCCUAGUUUUGGGCUUCAUGGGCCUUUGGGCUUUUGGUACCCAAUAUUGGGCUCAUUUUCAUUCUUGUAACUUUUACUUUCCAUUGUAUUUGCUUGGCUAAAUUAGAAUUAUUGAGGGAUUACUUAAAUA
Cajanus cajan (pigeon pea) is the source of this 2219-nucleotide long non-coding RNA. RefSeq lists it as uncharacterized. The record is from RefSeq and is a predicted model, not a curated record. NCBI's taxonomy places the organism in Eukaryota, Viridiplantae, Streptophyta, Magnoliopsida, Fabales, Fabaceae.